AAAAGCAGAAGCUGAGAGACUUCUUCUGUCUUAGCCAUAGAAUGGAGGUGAUGCAGAUGCACCUACACUACAUGUUAAAAUCACAAAGAGAGCCUCAGUGCCAACUAAGAUUCAAGAAGAUGGGACGGCAUAAGAUUGGUGUUUUCUUGAUCUACAUCUCAGUGGGAAAAGAGUGGCUUUCCUUGAGAAACCAGCAAACAGCAGUGCCAUUUGGGGAUGUCAAUGAUACCAACCCUGUUCAGUGCCUCUGUGUUCUCACACUUGUCUGCGGAUCAUCUGGAUGGAUCCAAUACACUACAGUGCUCAUUGUGAGAGCCCAGACAAACUGAUUUAAAGGACGGGAGUUGGGAAAUGAAAGAGAGAGAGAGAUGGUAAAGUUUUCUGAAUGCGAUGGCAUGGUGAAGUCUAAUUUCAUUGAAAUGACCCAGAGGGAAGUAAGCGAUACCAAAUAGGAGAAAGGAAAACUGAUUAAAGACAAACUCCAAUGUUUACCUCCAUCCCUGUCUUUCCUUAUGAAAGUCAACUUCACCUGAGAGAGAGAGAAGAAACAAAAUAUAUUUUUACAGAAUUUAGAGAGAUGGGUGUGACUGUCAUGGGGUACCUGAGAAAUUGUUAGGAAGUAUAGAAAAUAAUUGCUGCUUUAAAGUUACAAAUCAUAGCUUUCUCCCCUGCUGCAGCGAACACCAUCACCCACAUGAAGAAGCAAACUUGAAAUCCAGCCGGUUAUGUAAAUCCUAUCAGAAUCAUACAAUAUAUCUUACUUGACUCCAGGAGUGAAAUAACCACCUCAAAUCUGUCAUGUUUGAAGAUCUUGUUCAAAUUCUUUAUUUUUAAACUUCAUUUUCCUUUAUGUCAAGGGCUACCCUAGGUGAGUGUAGAGAGGUCUCUGUGCUUGAUUUUACUGCUCACAGGUGUUAUAUUUUACAGUAACCUUAACAUUCUGAGGUGACUCCACUUGGCCACCUCAGAUGGUUAACUGAGAUUGGCAUUGGUCACACCUAGGUGGAGCCUUUCCUUUCCCUUCACUUGGGAGUGAAAGCUUAUUAUCAUCAAGAGACUAGAGCAGUAAGAUAGACAAUGGUUUCCUUCGACUAAUCUUGUCUGUUUUGGAAGGUCAACUCCCUGCAUUUUCAGUAAAAAAUCACGGUUUUGCCUUAUUCCUGGUACCAGGACUUAUUUUCAUGUUUAUCAGUGCUGUAUUUUUCUUUGACAUGUUCGGCAUGCUAUUGCUUUUCUAGUAAUCUGUUUCUCUUUCCCAAACCAUGAAUGUAUUGUCCUUGGGCCUAUUCUCUCACAUUAAGCAAAUAAAACUUCUAUGGCUCAGUAAGCUUUCACAGCCUUUAUUAUUAGCAAUGACAUUCUAUUGAGCCUAAUGGAAAACCACUACAUAAUAAUGAGAUCUCACAGAGAUGAAAACCAGCACGUUUUCCUUUUAAUUGCUGAGUAUGAUCAGAAUGUUGCAUUUUACUGCAGCUAAAUAUUAAGAGCUACUCUUCAUUAAUAAUACUUCCCUUUUACCAGGCACUUAUCAUGCGUUUAGAGUUAAUCUUCACAACAACCUAAACAUGUUGACUUCCUUUUAUCACGUAAAUACAGAUGCAGAAAAUCCAGGAUUCAGGUCACCAACAAGUGGCAGAACUAGAUUUGGAAUUGACUCUGCCCAACCCUGAAGCCCCUGGUCCUUCAGUAAAGAACUGCCUCUCAACAUAGUCUGUAGUCAGCAGUAAAAAUAAAGUUUUCAAGCAUUCAGAUCACUCUAAAAUGCCUCUUUAACAUGUCAUUUUCCCCAAAUAUUAAUAAAAGCCUCCACUCAAUUGUAAUUCUUCCUAAUUAAGUGAAAAAUAAGGGGAAAAAAAAUCAAAACAGAAAUAGGAACUUGGGAAAAGAGAAAAGAUUCCCUUCAACCAUAUGCCUCCGUGGCACCUAUAAACUUGUAGUUCUUUUUGAGUGCUGGCCAGAAAGGAAUAGGGUCAGAGAAAUGAAAGCAGAACCAGAUGUGGGCAAGUCUAGGUGACCUGCCAAGUGGAAGAUAAUGUUCUAUACAGAUGCAGACACAAACGUAGUGAAUAAAAAUCUUAAAGACAUACUCAUCUCCAUUCACUGGGCACCAAACAAUGAGAUAAACACACAUCUAUCAAGGGUGAUGCUGUAAAACUUAGCUCUAAGGUUUGGCAUAUAGAGUUCUAUUUCCAUUCUGAAUUGUCUUCAACUUCCUUUGCUGAGCAUUAUGGGACCAAAGUCUUAACUGAUUGCAAAUGUUUCUGUGGUAAACUUUUCCAUGGGAGUCACCAGCUGGAUUCAGCAGGGCUUCGUCUUUUGCAGUAAAACUUGGGAAAGAGUGGGUAACAACAAAAUCUUCCUGUAGGACAUCACUGUAAAAAGUUGUCAAUAAAUGUGUUUUCUGUGUUUGUUAAAGUGCAGGGUGCUCAGGAGGAGCAGGUAAAAUAAAGCCAUAAAAAAAGUA
Long non-coding RNA from Leptonychotes weddellii (Weddell seal), 2464 nucleotides. RefSeq lists it as uncharacterized. The record is from RefSeq and is a predicted model, not a curated record. Lineage: Eukaryota; Metazoa; Chordata; Mammalia; Carnivora; Phocidae.